AGCAACGGUUUUAAGUAUUAAUUACGGUGUCGUGACGUUUCCAAUUUUUUAAACAAUAGGUUGACCGUGACUUUCCCGCCAGAUCGAGCCCCGUCCGUCCAUCUGGGUCUUUAAUUUAAAUGGGGAAUCCCACAAACCACUGGAUUACCUAAAUCAGAAUAUUCUCUCCAGUCCAUCUCCAGUCCAGCCAACCAAUCAACCCGCCCGUUCAAUUGGAUCUCCGCAUCCGGAUCUCCCAAAAGUCCAAUUCCAACCUUCUCCGCCGACACAGAUCUGCCUUCCAUUUUUAAAGACUGAAUAAAAAUGAUUGCAAUUCCGUACUUCACUGCUUUAACGACGUACUUUAGCUAUGGAUUGUUGUUUGUUUUUGGCCAAUUCAGAGAUUUCUUUCGCAAAAUUCUUGACUGGUGGAGCACCGACAACCUUCAGGUGAUUUUUUUUUCCGCUUGCGUGCUUCUUUCUGAUUGGCUGUUGACAUUUGGUUCUGGUGAAGCAGGGAUAUGCGCCUAUCUGCUUGGGACUGGAAGAUUUCUAUAUUCGGCGCCUGUAUAACCGAGUUCAGGUAUUUUCUGGAUUGAUUUGAUUGAAUUUUGAAAUUAAUCACGUGCUUUAAUUGAAUUUGAUUAGUGAUUUGACUUUUAAAUCAAGUGAUUAGAAUUAGACUCGAUACUGAUCAAGCAUUCAAUGAACUGAGUUUUUUUUUUUUUAAAUUGAGUCAUGGAGAUUUAUCAUGUGAUUGGGAUUUCUAAUUUGUAAUUCUAUUGUCUGGUUUGGUAUUGAGGUGCUGUAAGCUACAACUAAUGUAGAAAAAAAUGAUAAUUAUAAAAUAAAAGUUAAUAGCACGUAGUAAAUAUAAUUUUUAAUUAAUAUUUUUGAUAAAAUAAGUAAAGAUAUGAUAGAUUUUUCAUUAUAUAAGUGUAAAAUCAAAGCAACUUAGCUUUCAAGCUAGAGGAGUUAGUAUUUACUAUACUUUUAGUGCUGUAGUUUUGAAGUUACAGCUGUCUAACCUCAAUUUCAGACAAGACACAUGUUGACUAGAGGACAGGGUGGAUUUGACAAACGUAAUGGCAAAAGAAUAGUUAUGUUCUUUGUGCAAGUCAUUUUCAGUUAUGUGGUUCUUUAUCAUUUUGUUGUAUCUAACAGGAUUGCUUUGGGAGACCUUUAUCAAGUGCCCCUGAUGCAUGGUUUGAUGUCGUUGAACGUUAUUCCAAUGACAAUAAUAAGACACUCAAGUAAGUAUUUUCUCUUGUGCUUGAUGAUUAUGAUUUAGAUAGGUAUUUAGUUUCUUCUGCUGUACGGCCAAGGCGGAUGUCCGGUACAGCAGAAAAUUCAGAGGUUAAAACCACUUAGAUCGUAUCAAAUUAAAAGGUAAAAACCCCUUAUAAAAACAAAUCACACGGAUGAGAGAGAGACUCCACUCUUUCUAACCCUUCUCACAAACGGUCAUACACAAAACCCCAAACCGCACACCGCACACCGCACACCGCACACCUUCCAUCAUCCUAAUUCCUAUAGUGCUAUUGUUGAUGCAUCAAUCUGGUUAGGAUUUUGACAGAGUUAAAGCUGCCUCUUGUUUCUUCAUUUCUCUUUCUCCUUCUUCACCUAUUUCUUUUUUUUUUUUCUCUCUCUUCAAAAACUCGUCAUUACCAAAGGUAAACUUUAAAACCCACUUGCACAAACACACACAGUCAUUUAAUUCUACCUUCUUUUGUUAAUUUUAACAAAAUUUAAUGCUCACUGUUUUAUUUUAUUUUGCAUGUGGUUUUCACCCAAUAUUUGAAUCAAACAUUCGCAAGGGAUUUUAAGAGCACCCUGUAUUUUUUCCUUUCCCGUUUGCGGCGGCCCAGUGUUUAUGAUUGACACUGAUUUGUUUUUUUGUUUAUUGAUUUACACGGCCACAAGAAUUCACAUAUACUGGAUAAAUAGAUUUCUUUAUUUUUAAAUAAACUUUAAAAUUCGGUCUAAAAAAAUCAAAGUUGAUUUGCGACUCCUAACAGCAACGGUUUUAAGUAUUAAUUACGGUGUCGUGACGUUUCCAAUUUUUUAAACAAUAGGUUGACCGUGACUUUCCCGCCAGAUCGAGCCCCGUCCGUCCAUCUGGGUCUUUAAUUUAAAUGGGGAAUCCCACAAACCACUGGAUUACCUAAAUCAGAAUAUUCUCUCCAGUCCAUCUCCAGUCCAGCCAACCAAUCAACCCGCCCGUUCAAUUGGAUCUCCGCAUCCGGAUCUCCCAAAAGUCCAAUUCCAACCUUCUCCGCCGACACAGAUCUGCCUUCCAUUUUUAAAGACUGAAUAAAAAUGAUUGCAAUUCCGUACUUCACUGCUUUAACGACGUACUUUAGCUAUGGAUUGUUGUUUGUUUUUGGCCAAUUCAGAGAUUUCUUUCGCAAAAUUCUUGACUGGUGGAGCACCGACAACCUUCAGGUGAUUUUUUUUUCCGCUUGCGUGCUUCUUUCUGAUUGGCUGUUGACAUUUGGUUCUGGUGAAGCAGGGAUAUGCGCCUAUCUGCUUGGGACUGGAAGAUUUCUAUAUUCGGCGCCUGUAUAACCGAGUUCAGGUAUUUUCUGGAUUGAUUUGAUUGAAUUUUGAAAUUAAUCACGUGCUUUAAUUGAAUUUGAUUAGUGAUUUGACUUUUAAAUCAAGUGAUUAGAAUUAGACUCGAUACUGAUCAAGCAUUCAAUGAACUGAGUUUUUUUUUUUUUAAAUUGAGUCAUGGAGAUUUAUCAUGUGAUUGGGAUUUCUAAUUUGUAAUUCUAUUGUCUGGUUUGGUAUUGAGGUGCUGUAAGCUACAACUAAUGUAGAAAAAAAUGAUAAUUAUAAAAUAAAAGUUAAUAGCACGUAGUAAAUAUAAUUUUUAAUUAAUAUUUUUGAUAAAAUAAGUAAAGAUAUGAUAGAUUUUUCAUUAUAUAAGUGUAAAAUCAAAGCAACUUAGCUUUCAAGCUAGAGGAGUUAGUAUUUACUAUACUUUUAGUGCUGUAGUUUUGAAGUUACAGCUGUCUAACCUCAAUUUCAGACAAGACACAUGUUGACUAGAGGACAGGGUGGAUUUGACAAACGUAAUGGCAAAAGAAUAGUUAUGUUCUUUGUGCAAGUCAUUUUCAGUUAUGUGGUUCUUUAUCAUUUUGUUGUAUCUAACAGGAUUGCUUUGGGAGACCUUUAUCAAGUGCCCCUGAUGCAUGGUUUGAUGUCGUUGAACGUUAUUCCAAUGACAAUAAUAAGACACUCAAGUAAGUAUUUUCUCUUGUGCUUGAUGAUUAUGAUUUAGAUAGGUAUUUAGUUUCUUUUAUCAUUUUUGUUCAUCGUAUUCACGCCAUUGAAGAAUACCUAUAUGAAUGAGUGAUCUAAUGCAGACGAACCAACAAUGUAAGUAGAUGCCUGAAUUUGGGAUCAUACAACUACCUUGGUUUUGCUGCAGCAGAUGAAUACUGUACACCCCGAGUAAUUGACUCAUUGAAAAAAUAUUCUCAUAGUACCUGUAGUAGUCGGGUGGAUGGUGGUGAGUUUAUUACCUUGUAGGAUGCUUUUGUGUUGACACUUGUUAUAGAAAGUUUUACUAAUGCAGUUUUGCCAUCAGGCACAUUGGCGCUGCACAAUGAAUUGGAGGAGUGUGUUGCAAGGUUUGUUGGAAAGCCAGCUGCUAUAGUUUUUGGCAUGGGCUAUGUAACCAACUCAUCUAUCCUUCCAGUCUUGAUGGGGAAGGUCCGUUAUAUAACAUAUGAGAGCAACUUUUAAACAUAAUUUCUCACCUUGCUAUUUAAUUUUGACUGCUUGUCAAUUUUAUUUACAGGGAAGUUUGAUUAUUAGUGAUUCAUUGAACCAUAAUUCUAUUGUGAACGGUGCACGAGGAUCUGGAGCAACUAUUCGUGUUUUCCAACACAAUAGUAAGUCUUUCUGUUUUGUUGCUGAAUUAAAUGAUUCCGACUUCAUGAUGAGGUGUGACUGUUGUCAAGUAUGGUUCUUGUUUCUUGGGUAGGACAUCGUAGCAUAUGAUACUAAUUUGUGAAAAAAAACAAAAUGCAUCACUAUUGUGCAUUAGUAAUCAGUAUGGUGCAUUAUUUUUUCGAAUGCAAGUAGUACUCCAAAGAUCUCAGUUGGAGAAGUUUCUGAUCAUGGUUCCUUUUACCAUUUUGUUUACAGCCCCUUCUCACUUGGAGGAAGUCUUGAGGGAACAAAUCGCGGAGGGACAACCGAGAACUCGUAGACCUUGGAAGAAGAUCAUGGUUGUUGUGGAGGGGAUUUACAGCAUGGAAGGGGAGCUUUGCAAACUUCCUGAAAUAAUAGCAAUCUGCAAAAGAUAUAAGGUUGUGUGAGAUGAUGUCUAUCAUUUCAAUAUGCGCCUUGAACUGUCAUAUCACUAAAGUCAUCAAAUUCUUUUUCGUGAAUGGGAAAUUAUUUACUUUCUGCAAUGUUUUAAAAAGAUGAUUCUUGAUAUGCUAAUAUAAUAUGUAUUUUCAAACUUUAUUUAGCAUCCUAGAUAUUCUUUUAUAGGACUAUUUGUCUUCUGCAUAUUUUGAUGUGAACUCUAUGCUUAAUUCCUUUUCCCCAAUUUACAAAAGUAAAAAAGGUUACAGCGCUCAUUGUAUGUUGAAGUUAUAGCAAACCUAUGACUACUCAAUCCUUUUCCCAUAUCUCUUUCCAUGCACUUCAUAAAUAUUCCUACCUUUUAUGCGCAUGAUCAUAUGUUUGCUUGUAAUCUCAAGUCUCGUGCUUGCAUUCCUUUUGCAUUUAAAGUUGUUCAAGAGUUGUUCUUUUACUCUCAUUUAAAGUCUGUUUGUCAUUAUCUUUUUAUAGGCUCUCUUUUUUUCAAUAGCUAUGCAUUAUUUUAUACUAUUUUUAUGGUUUCAAUAUCGUGGGACAGGCAUAUACAUACUUAGAUGAGGCCCACAGCAUAGGAGCUGUGGGCAAAACAGGAAGAGGGGUUUGCGAGCUCUUAGGAGUUGAUACCUCUGAUGUGGAUAUCAUGAUGGGAACUUUUAGUAAAUCAUUUGGAUCAUAUGGUGGCUACAUUGCAGGAUCUAAGGUACACUUUUCAGCAAUCUAAGCUAUAAUGUAGUGUUUAACAUAUGAAUCAUAAUAAUCAUAUGGGUUAUUCAUCCAUAUUCUGUUACUGUCUUCUAUCUUCUACCAUUGAAAGUAUAUAUACUAACCAUUUAUAAACAUUUCCCCACUGGAAUGGAUUCUCCUUCAAGUGUUUGUAUUGGCCAUUGUGCAGGGGAGAAAAAAGUUGGGGAGGGUUUAGGGGAGAAAAAUAUAUUAUAAGCUCUCAAUUGCAUUCUUAUAGGAUCAUUUUUAUUUUGUCCUUUUUAAUUUGAAGGAACUGAUCCAAUACUUGAAGUACAAUUGUCCUGCUCAUCUAUAUGCAACUUCAAUUUCACCACCUGCAGCAGAACAAAUCAUAUCUGCCAUACAAGUUGUUAUAGGGGAGGAUGGUUCAUGUAGAGGUACAAACUGAUACUUUUGUCAUUAUUCUUUCUUUUGAGCUAAUAGUGUGCGAGCUUCAUGAAGUUCCAUGGGUCUUGCUAUAUUGAUCUGAACCUUAAAUUCUUUUGUAUUCAUAUAGGUGCCCAGAAACUUGCACGUAUUCGCGAGAAUAGCAACUUUUUUAGGUCAAAACUGCAGAAAAUGGGGUUCGAAGUUCUCGGAGAUAAUGAUUCUCCAGUGAUGCCAAUUAUGGUUUACAACCCUGCCAAAGUCUCGUCCUUUUCACGAGAGUGUCUCAAGCAGAAUGUGUGUGCGCCUGGCUUAACCCCCUAUCUCAUGAUUAAAGUUUUUGUGACAAAUUUUAAUUAGGUGUAUGUAACUAGAAACUGAUAUUUGUUAUAGGUGGCUAUUGUGACUGUUGGUUUCCCGGCUACCCCACUACUAUUGGCAAGGGCUCGUAUAUGCAUAUCCGCUUCGCAUACGAAGGAAGAUCUGAUUGAAGCCUUGGAGGUAAGUUCUGCUCCAUAGAAGACCAUUGCAUGAGUGUGUGUGAGAGAGAGAGCGAUUGCAAGAAUACACAUUCACAUUAGUUUUCUUCACAUGGAUUAUCCUAGGAGAGUAUUAGAUACAGACACAUGGAUUCGUGGUUGUAUACUAUGAUUAUGACAUUUGUUUAGGACUUUUAAGCAUGCGAGAAGCAAAUUUUGACAUUUUAGUUCUUGUCAAUUUUAAAUAGGCACAGAGUGCAUCUUAGUUCAGUUGAUUUAAUAAAAACAAUUCUUUCUUAGUGUGUCUACAUUGUAAAUCCUGGUUUGGAUUGCUUUCUUGUCUCAGGUAAUCAAUAGGAUUGGUGAUCUUGUGGGUAUUAAAUACUUCCCAGCUGAACCAAAGAAACAACAGCAAGUGGGGAUGUUGAAGUUAGAGUAAUACAGAAAUAAUUUUUUCCACAUUAUAUCAGUUUCAAGCAGCAGCAUCACAAGGCAAGAUCUAUAAAGCAUUGACCAAGAAAGACUCGGUGAUUAUUUUGCUUAGGUAAUGGUUGGAUUCUUAUAGUCUUUAAGUUCUGAUAUCAUCAUCCCUAUCAUGUAAAUUGCUUUGGAAGGAUCAGCCUCUCCACCCAUACAUAGACAAAAUCAAGUGACGCUCGUGUCCUUGAUGGGGGCCAGUGUCUUUUCUUUUCCUUUUAAACUUUUUGUUAAAUUAUUUAUGCUGUCUCUCUUUCAAAGAUUCCAUUGGUGUAGCUGCAAGUGGUGCCUUUGUCCCUUACAUAUACACUGGAAAUUGAUGCUGCUAGUGCCUAGUGGGUCUUUCUGUCACUCUCCCUCCCUAUUACCAUCCAUGUCCUUAUCAUCGUCAUCCUCCUAAUUUAUUUGACCUUCUAAAUUAAUUCAGUUUUCAUCGGGGUCCUGGGUUUUGUCUUCUCAAAAUUGAGAAUACUGGUCAAAGGUUGAAGCUUUUGAGUGCUUACAUCAGGUUUACGCUUCUUUUUCAAUAGGGGUUCUUUGUUUGCACCAUCUCUUCUUUGAGGUUUUGAUUAUGUGAAAUUUUCAAGUUUUGGAGAGAUGAACCAGUUACUAGUCAGGGUUUUGAACUGAAAAGUAUGAGCUAUGUUUGUUUUUGGAAUAUCAUGUAGGACAGGUCAUGGUAAAAUAGAUUAGAAAUUGUAGCUUUUUAGUGAAUUUAGUAUUUUUUCCUUUGUUGUAUUGGUUUUGAGCUGUGUUUGUUAUCAUGGUUAGGGCAGGUGAUGGUAAAAUAGAUUAGAAAUUGUAGCUUUUUAGUGAAUUUAGUAUUUUUUUCUUUGUUGUAUUGGUUUUGAGCUGUUUUUGUUAUCAUGGUUUGAAUACGAUUUGAGUUCAUUUGUCGUACUUGAACAAAAUUAGGAUCAAGUAGCUUAUUAAUUUAAAUGAUACUAUUAUUCCUGCAUUUUUCAUUCCUUUCAUCAAUAAAUUUUUAAUUAUCUCCUUCGGGAUUUGAAAUUUUCGUAAGCUAAUUAAAAGUAGAAAUGUUUAAGUUAAUAUUUUUUUGGUUUUGCUCAUAGUUUUUGUUUAAUAUCAAACCCGGCAAAACCUACCAACCGCUGCUGCUAAGUGGUAUCGUCAGCACCGGGAAUUUACGGGAAAGAUUUUGGAAAGUUUAGAUCCUAACUUUCUAAACACUACGUUUGACUGUGUUAGGUUUUUUUAACACUAAUUCGAUUUAAUUAUUUAUUAAUCAUGUUAUCCACUUAAUAUGAAUUUUAUCUUUUUUAUCAAAAUUUCACUUGUUUCCCAUAUGAUUAAAUAUUUUGUAAAAUUUCUGGAGCACUAACUUUCAAACUCCAAUUGGUCCUAAUAAAUAAAUAAGUAAAUAAAUAAAUAAAUAAAACUCAAUCACUUUUUAAAUAGUAAAAUUAAAUGUAGUAUAAUUGGGGUUAAAAAAAAAAGUCACUAUGAAAUGAUUAACCAAAUUGUUAACUAUAUAUGAUGUGGGUUUCAGUGUGUAAAAAUUUCUACGCUUAUUAAUAAAUGGGUGAUGCAUAUUUCAUCUAAAUAAUAAUUAUAUCAUUUUACCAAUGUACAAAUUCACAAUCAUAACCUCUUAUGUAAUUAUGUUGCGUGCCUUGAGUUUUUACUUAAAAAAAAAUUGAUCAUGAAAAUACCAUAUUGGAUGGAAUAUAAAAUAGUAUUUGGGAUGAAUCAUAAUAUUAUGUAAAAUAUAAUUAUUAUUUACCAAGACUCGAAGCCAACAAUUCUCUUUUUAAUUCAACAAAAAGAAAAAGUUAUUAUCAAAUUUAAAUUUAAUUAACAUAAUUACAUAAUCAACAUACCCAUUAAAAUCUCAAAAAUCAAAUUAAGACUUUUUUAUCAAGAUAGUUCAGGAAGGUUUCCAUUUUAUUAUAUUUUAUAUUUUUCAAACAAAACAAAGUUUUCCAAUUUUUAAAAGACAUAAAAGUUGACUUGACCAUGAUUUUUCUGCCAGGUCCAGCCAGACCAUUGGAGUCUAAAACCGCGGAGGCCCGCACCGCUGAAUUGAUUACCAGAAUUAGAAUCUUUCUCCCGCCUCCACAUCCUCUCUGGCUCUCUCAAUCCCCGCCCGAUUUCAUUCGGGUCCAUUUUCGGAUCCUCCCUUUCAGCUUUGUCUCCUCAUUCCGAUCUCUCAAUAUUCCUCUCUCUGCGCCUCCGCAGAUCUGUUCUUCACAUUUCCAACUCACAAAUUAUUAUUAUAUUAAUUAAGUAGAGAUGAUUUCAAUUCCGUACUUAACCGCUUUAACGACUUAUUUCAGCUAUGGAUUGUUGUUUGUUUUUGGC
RNAcentral lists this long non-coding RNA (8708 nucleotides) under Citrus sinensis (sweet orange). RNAcentral's name for it is "long non-coding RNA (CSIN_LNC000684)". The record is from RNAcentral. Lineage: Eukaryota; Viridiplantae; Streptophyta; Magnoliopsida; Sapindales; Rutaceae.